GUUAUUAUAGCUUAGUGGUUUAGGCCUUAGGGUCAAACUUUUGUGAGUUCAAAUCUCGCUAAUAGCA
Molecule: transfer RNA, 67 nt
Filed under: Solanum lycopersicum (tomato)
Lineage: Eukaryota; Viridiplantae; Streptophyta; Magnoliopsida; Solanales; Solanaceae
Also listed under: 1 other name
Rfam family: tRNA
About the family: Transfer RNA (tRNA) molecules are approximately 80 nucleotides in length. Their secondary structure includes four short double-helical elements and three loops (D, anti-codon, and T loops). Further hydrogen bonds mediate the characteristic L-shaped molecular structure. tRNAs have two regions of fundamental functional importance: the anti-codon, which is responsible for specific mRNA codon recognition, and the 3' end, to which the tRNAs corresponding amino acid is attached (by aminoacyl-tRNA synthetases). tRNAs cope with the degeneracy of the genetic code in two manners: having more than one tRNA (with a specific anti-codon) for a particular amino acid; and 'wobble' base-pairing, i.e. permitting non-standard base-pairing at the 3rd anti-codon position.
Source: Rfam by way of RNAcentral